This 344-nucleotide small nucleolar RNA is filed under the name Saccharomyces arboricola H-6. RNAcentral describes it as "Small nucleolar RNA snR42". It matches the Rfam family "Small nucleolar RNA snR42". Lineage: Eukaryota; Fungi; Ascomycota; Saccharomycetes; Saccharomycetales; Saccharomycetaceae. The record is from Rfam by way of RNAcentral.
UAACAAAUUCGUGAUGCUUUGGGGGGCAUAUUGUUUGGCGGUUUAUAGGAGCUAGAUCUAUCUUUUGGAUGGACCUCCAACCUAUUCUUACCUCCAAAAUCGUUACAAUAGCUUCCUUCUGAAUUUAUCUUUCUUUUCUUUGGUUUAGGUUAUUUUGUAUAAGUUAUUUCAAGGAGAAAAAAGGGAAAGGAUGAUGAGUGUCGUAGAUAAAUCUUCGGUUCCGAAUAGUCUGACUGUUGGUAUCGAGGUAAUCCAACUUUAAAACCAUCGCCGUUAGAGGUCGCUUCCGGUUUACUCGGUUAAGUGACCCAUGAAAUGGUGAUGACCUAAAGUUUGGAACAGUU